UACGUAGGUGGCAAGCGUUGUCCGGAAUUAUUGGGCGUAAAGCGCGCGCAGGCGCUCCUUUAAGUCUGAUGUGAAAGCCCACGGCUCAACCGUGGAGGGUCAUUGGAAACUGGGGGACUUGAGUACAGAAGAGGAAAGCGGAAUUCCACGUGUAGCGGUGAAAUGCGUAGAGAUGUGGAGGAACACCAGUGGCGAAGGCGGCUUUCUGGUCUGUAACUGACGCUGAGGCGCGAAAGCGUGGGGAGCAAACAGG
RNAcentral lists this ribosomal RNA (253 nucleotides) under uncultured bacterium. RNAcentral describes it as "partial 16S ribosomal RNA". It matches the Rfam family "Bacterial small subunit ribosomal RNA", at positions 524 to 776 of the family's 1533-position model. The record is from RNAcentral.